GUACACUCAUCAGAAGAACAGAUUUUGACAAGGUGCUUUGAUACACAAUGCUUUUGGUUAGUGAUGACCUGAAUGAAACAGUUUUCAGAUUCCUCUGUAGUCUGAUUUGUUAAACCUUGCUUGUUCCCCACGUGUUCUGUUUGACUUUACAGAUGUUUGAUCUGCCUUUUUUCUCUUUGUUUUUAGUUUUCCAUAUGGUUUCUUCAAACUCCUUUUUGAUUCGUCAUACUGAAUACCUACCCACCACCCCCAUAUUCACUAGAUUUUCAGAAUAAUUCAAGAAAGGAUGAUUUCAAAUGCACAGUUCCACUCUAAAGACACCAAGAGCCUGUUGAUGAACUCUUCAGUACAGUGUCUUCAGAGCAGCAAUAUCUGUGAAGUGACAGGAAAAACAAGCAUAAAGGAUAGAAACUGGAGGUGGGUUUUUUUGUUUGUUUGGUUGGUUGGUUGGUUUUGGUUUUGGUUUUGUUUUUUUGGGGGUGGGUGUGUGUUUUUUGUUGUUGUUUUUUUUUGUGUGUGUGUUUGUUUGUUUUAAUUUAAUGCAGUUUGAUAUUCCUAAACAGAAGGUUUUAAAACUCCAGUUUGCUAUUAAAUUUUCUGUGCACAUCUUCUUACCAGUCUUACCAGUCAUGGUCAUUCUGUUUUCAAGGAAAACACUUUGUGAAGGACCCUUAAAGGGGUACAUGCCACAUCCCCUGCAUCUGUAACUGUUUUUGACAAUAUGUCAUCCCCUGCCCUUACAGUUCCAAAUG
This 752-nucleotide long non-coding RNA is filed under the name Anas platyrhynchos platyrhynchos (common mallard). Its description in RNAcentral is "lncRNA (ENSAPLG00000024516.1)". The record is from RNAcentral. Lineage: Eukaryota; Metazoa; Chordata; Aves; Anseriformes; Anatidae.